RNAcentral lists this transfer RNA (74 nucleotides) under Planctomycetota bacterium. Its description in RNAcentral is "tRNA-Pro". It matches the Rfam family "tRNA". From Rfam's summary of the family: Transfer RNA (tRNA) molecules are approximately 80 nucleotides in length. Their secondary structure includes four short double-helical elements and three loops (D, anti-codon, and T loops). The record is from RNAcentral. Lineage: Bacteria; Pseudomonadati; Planctomycetota.
CGGGCCGUAGCUUAGUCUGGUAAAGCGCCUGGUUUGGGACCAGGAGAUCGCUGGUUCGAAUCCAGUCGGCCCGA